Mesoplodon densirostris (Blainville's beaked whale) is the source of this 2732-nucleotide long non-coding RNA. RefSeq lists it as uncharacterized. NCBI's taxonomy places the organism in Eukaryota, Metazoa, Chordata, Mammalia, Artiodactyla, Ziphiidae. The record is from RefSeq and is a predicted model, not a curated record. The transcript is spliced from 6 exons.
CGCGAGAAUUGAGAAGGGGCGAUGACUUGGUGAGGCGGAAUAAGAGGCGAGAACCUUCUGACCCCGCCCCCUUGGGGGAUCCCGCCCCCUUUGGGGGAUCCGGAGGCGCUUAGUACUGACUUGCGUAGAGCGUUCUAUGUUUGUGGGUCUCUGCUGUGGUGCGCACGCUUUUGAAUUUUAGGGAAAUAAAGUUUUUGUGAGUUGUUUUUUUAAUUUGGGAGGAAGGAGAGCUGGGGGCUGGAGGGCGACAUGGGAAUGCCAAAUUAAGUGCGCCUUUAAUGAUAGCUACCAGUACCGUAAAAGAAGGGAUAUGACACCAAAACUGUAAAAUGAUAUACUCCAAAAUAAAGAGCAGCACUUCCCAAUAGUGGUCACUUGUUACCUUACGUCGAUAUGGACAUUGCUUUUCUCACUUGAAUGCAGAGUUUAAAACUUUUUCAAAAACAAUUGGAAACUAAACUGCAAUGAAUAUUAUAUCUUUUUCAUACUUUACUGCUUUAAUCUCCACAACUACUUGAUCGAAGGCAUAAGCGUUAUUUUUAUUUCACUGGUGAUAAAACUGAAGCACAAAAAAGGUUAAAUUGAUCAAGGCUCCGCAGCUAGUAAGUGUUAAAACUCAGUUUAAAUAGCCCCCAAACCUGUAGAUAAAUGCAUCAGAUAUGUAUUGAGUAGAAUUAUCUACAGUGAGACAGUUUGCAUUAGUUUGCAGGCACAAAGAGAAGUGAGACUGCUCCUGCUGGUGGUUACCUUGAAUUUUACAAAUGACCUUGCAGCCUUUCUGAGACUUGGGUUGCAGGGGUCCUCAACAAUAAAAUCAAUACACUAUUAUUAUUUCCUUCCUUUGAGUUUAUGACCCUGGUGAUAAAGUAGUUGAGAAUAGUGGAAUAAACCCUUGACUUGAACUCAGGAAAAUUGUUUUCAACUCCAACUUUAAUAAAUUUCACUUCAGGCAUUCAAUGAAUAUUUGAUGAAUGAAUGAACAAAACCUAACUAGUUAUAAGACACCUGACUUCACUGAGUCUCGAUUUCUUCAUCUGUAAAAUGAUCUAAUUCCUACCUCCUCGGAGUGUUGGGGAGAUUGAAUGAAAUAGUAUAAGGGAGAGUGCUUUGUAAAUUGCAAAAGUGUUAUAAAGAAGUUAGUGAUAAUGAUUUUUCAGACCUGAGAAAUGGCGUAAAAAAUUAAAAACAGACUCAAGAAAUAGUAUGUUGAGAUAAGCUUAGCUAAUGGGAAAAAGCUAGAUAAGUCUUUCUACAAAUAUUUAUUGAGCAAUUAUUGCAUAUACUAUGCUUGUUAAAGAGAAGAAAAAUGUGCAGGAAGUAGCACAAAUCAGUAUUAUUAGUUAUUAUUAUAAUUAAGUAUUGACAGUAUAUAGGGGCUGCAGUCAGUUUCCCUCCAGGAGCGUGGAAAUCAGGUUGCCCUCAGAAUUAAACUAAUAAAAAUUUACAUAGUAGAAGAAAUUAGCUAAUGGUGAUAGUAAACAUAUUUAACAACUGGUACUGCUCAAGCACUGAUCUACCAGAUGUGAAUUCCAGGAAGGGUCCAAGAGAUAUCCCUCUGUGCUAGGUGUUAACCCUUCAGUUGCUAGUUUUUAAAUAGUAGGUCCCCGGGAGGGGAGUUGUCAGGAGAGUUGGAACAGCAGCUGUUUACCAGCUAGUACCAAAGUAUUUCAGUAUUUUAAUACUCGGUAUUAUAACUGGUAUCAGUCACACUAGUACAUACAGGCCGAAUAUUAGUCCUUGCUGUAGACUGUGGUUAUCAAUAUUCUCUGCCCUUCCUUUUCUAAAACCCUCCCCAUCUGGCCUGUCCCUAGGAGGUUAUACUUCUCACCCUAAUGCCAUCAAGCUAGGCUUUGUUUUGGUCAGUGAAAUGUGAGUAGAAAUAGCUUGAUCCAGUUCUGAGCAGAAAUGUAUGGGCCAUCUCAUGAUUCCACCAUAUUUUUCCUCAGCCCUGAGAGGAUCAUGUUCCAAAUAGAGCUGCCUUUCUAGCUUUGGUCCCAGAAUGAAGAUGUGCAGAGCCACAGCUGACGCACAAGACAUGGAAUGCCUCACUUCCCACAAGCUACUCCUGGCCGAUGACUGAGCACAGCAGGGAUUUUUGGACAGGCUUCUUCCUGGGGUAUCUGUUUUCUGAGGAUCUGAACUGACAUGAGGGGAGGGAGGAUGAGAUCGUAGUACCUCCUCUCCACCCCAUCAGCCGUAGGGACCCUGAGGACACACCACCUCACAGAGCAUGAGAUCUGGCUUCCUAAGCAGCUGCUGAAGGGGUCAAUGAAGCAACCUAGAAGUACAGGAGAUUUAACUGCCCAUGGGGCCAACUAUGAUUAAUGGGGGAACAAUCCACUCUCCCUUCCUUCCUCUGAUGGACUGUUUCAAGAGGAGCUGAUGGAGGGAUAGACCUGUGGUUCCCAACGUUUCCUGUCUUACCUCCCCCCAAGUGCUCUGCAAUCAAAACAAGAAAACUGACUCUUUAAAUGACAUUUAUCCUGGCUGAUACCAGAGGAACUGUUACUGAAUCCUUACGUCUAACCUGGCUCACUUCUGUGAGCUCCUGUUGCUACCCAGGCCACUGGGGGGUAGUCAAGUCUCUUGAGGGCCUGGAGAGGGUCCUACCAACCUCAACACUUGGAAUCCUACACAUGUUCUUCUACCAGGAGAAACCUUAAAAAUCAUCUAGCUAUCUCCUUCCUCCUACCUUUUCCAGACGGGUUGAUUGUUGUCCCAUUUUCAUGUAU